Molecule: non-coding RNA, 1852 nt
Organism: Zonotrichia albicollis (white-throated sparrow)
Lineage: Eukaryota; Metazoa; Chordata; Aves; Passeriformes; Passerellidae
Source: RefSeq, a predicted model, not a curated record
CCCCCGCCCCGCCCCGCCGGGCGCGGCUCUGCCCCGCUCCGUCCGGAGCACUCGGAAACCCUGGGGCUUUAAUAAUGGGCCAAAAUACGCACCCAGGCACCACUGCUAAAUACUGCUGGAAACGUGAAGCCUACGGAUGGAAAAAGCUCCAAAGCAACACGUAGAGUUAUUUGGAAAAGAGGGAAGAGGUUGUUCUCAUCUCCAUCUUAGCCUCCAGACGCAACCCAGGAGAAUUUUGCAACACAGAGAAUGAUGAAUCGUCAUCAUAAACAGGAAUACUGUGGGGGCAGAAGUACUUAUAAAAAGGGAUUUACGUGCUCAUCAAUAUACUCAUCUACUCACAUGUGUUGGUUCCAGGAGCAAGUAAAGGGAUCCUAAAACUGCAAGACAUCUGGAGGAGUGCCCAGACAGGAACUGGACUGAGGUGGUAUAGUGGGAAGAAAUGGAAAUAAGACUGUAAAAAUUGAUUGAAGAAAUGGAGGAGCAAUAUUUGGGGAAAGGAGAAGAUAAGAAGCACAAGAUACCAUUCGAGGCAUUUUUUCCUGCAGAAAGCAGUAAAAACCCUAUAAGCGAUCUAUUUUCACUCUCCAGUCUGUUGUUGAUACCAAAAUGACUCACAGGACUCAGGAUGUUUAAAGUACAAACAAAAAACUGGAUGAAAAGCCAUUUGUCAGAUAAGCUUGUUGCUUGUUAAUAUGGUUAUCUGUUGUCAGGCAGCUGUGGUUAGAGUCACAGCAGGGCCUGGUAUUACAGCAAGUCUAAGUGCAAGCACUUUCAGCAAAAAAAUAGUUCAGAAAUUUAAUUGCAGAGUUUUGAAUCCGCUCUGCUUGGCAAAGGCCUUCUCUCAUAGUCUGCUUAAAGACAGAAGUGGUCUGCAAAUGCAUCAGAACUGAAGCUACUUGUUUUGCCCUGUUGAUAAUGCCUCACUGGUAUUAUGGUUAUCUGCACCAUCUGAUACUGCAUUUUUCUCACUCUGAUUAGGAAAGACUCACAGAAGUGAAUCAGAGAAGGGGGGCAAUAUGAUGGGGGGAUAAUGGUGCACAGCAAGAUUUGUUCUUUUGUGUCCUAAGUUAGAAACAUAGUGUGCUGCCCUGUGACACAUCCAAUCUGCCUCUGACCAUCUAAGAACAUGCCUCACUCACUGCUGUGACUGCUUGUCAGGUUUCACACUCUGUGAGCUGAUGGGGAGGGAGUGAGUUAUGUUGCUUCCAGCCAGGAGUGUUCACUCCAAGAUGAUUCAUUUGCAGACACGUCAUGGUUUUGAUGUGCCUGGCACACAGCUGCAGUAACAUCUUUACAUACCUGUAUUGGGUAACAUUCAGCUGCCCCCUUUUCUUGCAGGUCCUCCCCAAAAUGUGGUCCUGGCUGGUGAGAUCUUGUUUCACAAAUGAUGGGAAGAGGGCAGGUUACAGUCAAGGUACAGCUUGGUUUAGGAUGGUGAACGUGAGAUUUGUGCACUUGGAUACUCUCCAGGGACAUCAUUGUUACCUUGGUUACAUACUUCCCAUUUUCACAUUUAAUGAAUGAAAAUAUAAUCCAAUAAUAGCUAAGUUAAAAAAAGAAAGAACACUUCAAAACCAGGCUUUAACAAAAUGUGGGGGUUUUUUAACUUGAUCCUACUAAAAAUACAGGUAGAGAAUCUACCUCCUGCUCCCAGCAUAAAGAUUUCUCCCACUAUUUUACAAUAUAGAUUGUAAUAAUACAAAUAAAGAUUUUGUAGGCUUCAUUCAGCCUUCAACACCUGAAUGUUCAAUUUCAUAGAUUUUACAGAGCUGAGUUUUGCAGAUAUCUUAACAAACAAGGGGAAUAUUGUGUGCAAAAUUCACAUUAAAAGCAUGUAUGUUGGGAAAUA